Heligmosomoides polygyrus is the source of this 75-nucleotide non-coding RNA. The record is from Rfam. Lineage: Eukaryota; Metazoa; Nematoda; Chromadorea; Rhabditida; Heligmosomidae.
GCGCCGGUGGUGUAAUCGCGUAGAGCAUUCCCGCCCGGUCAGAGGGAGGUGCAGGUUCGAGUCCCGCCUGGCGCU